Molecule: long non-coding RNA, 1293 nt
Organism: Gorilla gorilla gorilla (western lowland gorilla)
Lineage: Eukaryota; Metazoa; Chordata; Mammalia; Primates; Hominidae
Exons: 2
Source: RefSeq, a predicted model, not a curated record
GGGGAGGUUGGUAAGGAAUUCUUUGUUCUGACCCACCUAUGAAGGCAUAAUAGAGGGAGGCAGGAGGCAGAUCUUGGGCUCCCCCUAGAGGCGUGUGUGCACUCAUUCACCAAACACGGCGCCCCUAUCCGCUCUGGACACUGCCAGGUGCUGGAGGUGCAGCGCUGAGCAAGGGAUGAGGCCCCUGUCUCAUGGAGUGCGAGCUUCUCGCUAGAGGAGGCAAACAUGAAACACACUUAGACUCAGACCAAAGGAAGUUCCAGGGUGCUGUGUAGAGCCAGCUCUCCAAAGGACCUGAGCUCCCUGCUGCUGCCUUUAAACUGGGAGCCUGGGAAGAGCCAGCUGGGACUCGGAGCUACGCCAGUGGUCAGCCCAGCCACCAAGGCCAAGCUUGUAAGUCACAGAAUGGUAAGCCUGGAAAAGACCCUAGAGACCCCCAAAUCCCAUUUGUUCGUUUCACAGAUGAGGAAUCUAAAGCCCAAAAAGAGGAAAAGGCAUCAUCCGUAUGAGAGUAGCUGGUGUUUAUGGAGCAUCUGGGGGCUCCUGAUGCUUGGGUAGAAGUAAGACACCCCCCUCCUACCACAAUGAGGGGUUUCCCCGCCAGCCCUUAUGCCCCAGAGCACCUAGGGUCUCCCAGGACUAUAAGCAACCCUCUUGCAGCUCAAUUCUUCCCACACCCUCACCCCACAGAAAAGGCUUGGAAGCUGUGGGCCCUUCAUGUGGGGCUGAAGUCUUAAGACCUGGAGAGCAGCCCCAAGGGUGGAGAAGCGGCUGCUGAAGGGAUCAGCAUGCGCUGGCACAGGAAGUCUGUUUUCCAUGUGUCUGGAACCCAGCCGAAGCUUCCUGGGGUAAUUUUAACCAGUAUCCACUCUAGAACAAUACCAAAAAAGCAAGACUGUGUUGGGCUGGAGGAAAGGCAGUAAUCAACUUCAUGUUCCACGUGAGGAAACUGAAGAUCAUGGAAGGCAAGUCGAGAGCCCCAAGGUUAUCCGGCUUCAAGGUCACCAGUCACCCAGCUUCCUUCUUUCAUGUAGCCAGAUGCCCAUCCCAGUACUAGGUUGCACUGUGGGGAUUGUGGAGUAGCCCUCUACCACCUAGGGCCCUCAUGUGUUUCCUUUAUUUGAGACAGGGUCUCACUCUGUCGCCCAGGGUGGAAGUGGCCCAGUCACAGCUUACUGCAGCAUCAGCCUCCCCAGGCUCAAGUGAUUAAGGCCUCCCUCUGCCUGCCCCACCCCCACUGUGUUUAUAUUGUUGGGAAACUUAAUCCACGGAAAUAAAGUGUGGAUUAUUUUU